GACGAACGCUGGCGGCGUGCUUAACACAUGCCAGUCGAACGCUGAAGCUCAGCUUUUGUUGGGUGGAUGAGUGGCGAACGGGUGAGUAACACGUGAGUAACCUGCCUCCUUCUUUGGGAUAACGCCCGGAAACGGGUGCUAAUACUGGAUAUUCACUGGUCUUCGCAUGGGGGUUGGUGGAAAGGGUUUUUCUGGUGGGGGAUGGGCUCGCGGCCUAUCAGCUUGUUGGUGGGGUGAUGGCCUACCAAGGCUUUGACGGGUAGCCGGCCUGAGAGGGUGACCGGUCACAUUGGGACUGAGAUACGGCCCAGACUCCUACGGGAGGCAGCAGUGGGGAAUAUGGCACAAUGGGCGCAAGCCUGAUGCAGCGACGCCGCGUGAGGGAUGGAGGCCUUCGGGUUGUGAACCUCUUUCGCUCAUGGUCAAGCCGCAACAAUGGUUGUGGUGAGGGUAGUGGGUAAAGAAGCGCCGGCUAACUACGUG
Molecule: ribosomal RNA, 483 nt
Filed under: uncultured bacterium
Lineage: Bacteria
Description: partial 16S ribosomal RNA
Rfam family: Bacterial small subunit ribosomal RNA
Source: RNAcentral